CCUACGGGUGGCUGCAGUGGGGAAUAUUGGACAAUGGGGGCAACCCUGAUCCAGCCAUGCCGCGUGUGUGAAGAAGGCCCUCGGGUUGUAAAGCACUUUCAGUGAGGAAGAACGCCUGGUGGUUAAUACCCAUCAGGAAAGACAUCACUCACAGAAGAAGCACCGGCUAACUCCGUGCCAGCAGCCGCGGUAAUACGGAGGGUGCGAGCGUUAAUCGGAAUUACUGGGCGUAAAGCGCGCGUAGGUGGCUUGAUAAGCCGGUUGUGAAAGCCCCGGGCUCAACCUGGGAACGGCAUCCGGAACUGUCAAUCUAGAGUGCAGGAGAGGAAGGUAGAAUUCCCGGUGUAGCGGUGAAAUGCGUAGAGAUCGGGAGGAAUACCAGUGGCGAAGGCGGCCUUCUGGACUGACACUGACACUGAGGUGCGAAAGCGUGGGUAGCAAACAGGAUUAGAUACCCCAGUAGUC
RNAcentral lists this ribosomal RNA (465 nucleotides) under Vreelandella stevensii. RNAcentral describes it as "partial 16S ribosomal RNA". It matches the Rfam family "Bacterial small subunit ribosomal RNA", at positions 338 to 795 of the family's 1533-position model. Lineage: Bacteria; Pseudomonadati; Pseudomonadota; Gammaproteobacteria; Oceanospirillales; Halomonadaceae. The record is from RNAcentral.